CACUCCUACGGGAGGCAGCAGUGGGGAAUUUUGGACAAUGGGCGAAAGCCUGAUCCAGCAAUGCCGCGUGAGUGAAGAAGGCCUUCGGGUUGUAAAGCUCUUUUGUCAGGGAAGAAACGGUGAGAGCUAAUAUCUCUUGCUAAUGACGGUACCUGAAGAAUAAGCACCGGCUAACUACGUGCCAGCAGCCGCGGUAAUACGUAGGGUGCAAGCGUUAAUCGGAAUUACUGGGCGUAAAGCGUGCGCAGGCGGUUUUGUAAGUCUGAUGUGAAAUCCCCGGGCUCAACCUGGGAAUUGCAUUGGAGACUGCAAGGCUAGAAUCUGGCAGAGGGGGGUAGAAUUCCACGUGUAGCAGUGAAAUGCGUAGAUAUGUGGAGGAACACCGAUGGCGAAGGCAGCCCCCUGGGUCAAGAUUGACGCUCAUGCACGAAAGCGUGGGGAGCAAACAGGAUUAGAAACCCGUGUAGUCCCAUGAU
This 476-nucleotide ribosomal RNA is filed under the name uncultured organism. Its description in RNAcentral is "partial 16S ribosomal RNA". It matches the Rfam family "Bacterial small subunit ribosomal RNA", at positions 334 to 801 of the family's 1533-position model. The record is from RNAcentral.